This 71-nucleotide transfer RNA is filed under the name Camelus bactrianus (Bactrian camel). It matches the Rfam family "tRNA". From Rfam's summary of the family: Transfer RNA (tRNA) molecules are approximately 80 nucleotides in length. RNAcentral also lists the same sequence under 2 other names. The record is from Rfam by way of RNAcentral. Lineage: Eukaryota; Metazoa; Chordata; Mammalia; Artiodactyla; Camelidae.
GAGGAUAUAGCUCAGUGGUAGAGUGUAUGCUUGGCAUGCAUGAAGUCUUGGGUUCAAUCCCCAGUACCUCU